This 433-nucleotide ribosomal RNA is filed under the name uncultured bacterium. RNAcentral's name for it is "partial 16S ribosomal RNA". It matches the Rfam family "Bacterial small subunit ribosomal RNA", at positions 29 to 507 of the family's 1533-position model. The record is from RNAcentral.
AACGAACGCUGGCGGCAUGCCUAACACAUGCAAGUCGAACGAGACCUUCGGGUCUAGUGGCGCACGGGUGCGUAACGCGUGGGAACCUGCCCUUAGGUUCGGAAUAACUCCCCGAAAGGGGUGCUAAUACCGGAUAAUGUCUUCGGACCAAAGAUUUAUCGCCUUUGGAUGGGCCCGCGUUGGAUUAGCUAGUUGGUAGGGUAAAAGCCUACCAAGGCGACGAUCCAUAGCUGGUCUGAGAGGAUGAUCAGCCACACUGAGACUGAGACACGGCCCAGACUCCUACGGGAGGCAGCAGUGGGGAAUAUUGGACAAUGGGCGAAAGCCUGAUCCAGCAAUGCCGCGUGAGCGAUGAAGGCCUUAGGGUUGUAAAGCUCUUUUACCCGGGAUGAUAAUGACAGUACCGGGAGAAUAAGCUCCGGCUAACUCCGUG